RNAcentral lists this long non-coding RNA (462 nucleotides) under Mus pahari (shrew mouse). RNAcentral describes it as "lncRNA (MGP_PahariEiJ_G0003930.1)". The record is from RNAcentral. Lineage: Eukaryota; Metazoa; Chordata; Mammalia; Rodentia; Muridae.
GGGAUGCCGGGGUGAGGGUGGACAAGACGGCUGGUAGAAGAAAAAAGUUUUUAAAAUACAUUUAGCUUUAUGUUCGCGGCAGUGGUGGCGCACGCCUUUAAUCCCAGCACUCGGGAGGCAGAGGCAGACUGAUUUCUGAGUUCGAUGCCAGCCUGGUCUACAGAUAUUGUUGUGAACAUCAGGGCAGCAGUUCUGUUCACCUGGAUUUAUAAACACCAAAACGUAGCAACAGCCAGUGUGCAAGUCACUGACAACCCAAGUCACCAAAAAUCUUACUGAGAACCCACAUGUCAUUAGCUCCUUGAAUUAAAGAUUAUUUUGUGAAAAGAGGCUUGAUCGUCUUGUUCUGCACCUGAAAUAAAGCAUUUCCCAUUCUGUUGUUUUAAAGUAUUAACUCUGUAACACUUGUGCAUAAUUUUGUUUUUAUAAUAAAGUAAGUAGUGAUACCAAAAUAUGGUACAA